GGUUGAUCCUGCCAGUAGUCAUAUGCUUGUCUCAAAGAUUAAGCCAUGCAUGUCUAAGUAUAAACAAUUAUACAGUGAAACUGCGAAUGGCUCAUUAUAUCAGUUAUUGUUUAUUUGAUGAUACCCUUACUACUUGGAUAACCGUGGUAAUUCUAGAGCUAAUACAUGCGUAAAACCCCGACUUCUGGAAGGGGUGUAUUUAUUAGGUAAAAGCCAACCCGGGCAACCGGUCCUUUGGUGAUUCAUAAUAACUUUUCGGAUCGCAUGACUUCACGUCGGCGAUGGUUCAUUC
RNAcentral lists this ribosomal RNA (292 nucleotides) under uncultured eukaryote. Its description in RNAcentral is "partial 18S ribosomal RNA". It matches the Rfam family "Eukaryotic small subunit ribosomal RNA", at positions 6 to 300 of the family's 1831-position model. The record is from RNAcentral.